AAGCGCGCGGCGGAGCAUGGUUU
RNAcentral lists this non-coding RNA (23 nucleotides) under Cricetulus griseus (Chinese hamster). Lineage: Eukaryota; Metazoa; Chordata; Mammalia; Rodentia; Cricetidae. The record is from RNAcentral.